AGCGAAAUAGUCGACUUGGUCUAAGGUGCGAGACUACGGCUCUUCGGGGGUGUGGGUUCAAAUCCCACUCGUCA
RNAcentral lists this transfer RNA (74 nucleotides) under Sphaerobolus stellatus SS14. Its description in RNAcentral is "tRNA-Arg (ACG) (tRNA-Arg-ACG-15-1)". The record is from RNAcentral. Lineage: Eukaryota; Fungi; Basidiomycota; Agaricomycetes; Geastrales; Sphaerobolaceae.